UACGUAGGGGGCAAGCGUUGUCCGGAUUUAUUGGGCGUAAAGAGCGUGUAGGCGGCCAGACAGGUCCGUUGUGAAAACUCGAGGCUCAACCUCGAGAUGUCGAUGGAAACCGUCUGGCUAGAGUCCGGAAGAGGAGUGUGGAAUUCCUGGUGUAGCGGUUAAAUGCGCAGAUAUCAGGAAGAACACCUAUGGCGAAGGCAGCACUCUGGGACGGUACUGACGCUGAGACGCGAAAGCGUGGGGAGCGAACAGG
This 253-nucleotide ribosomal RNA is filed under the name uncultured bacterium. Its description in RNAcentral is "partial 16S ribosomal RNA". It matches the Rfam family "Bacterial small subunit ribosomal RNA", at positions 524 to 776 of the family's 1533-position model. The record is from RNAcentral.